UAUGGCCCAACAGCAGCUGCUGCAUAUCUGAUUAUGGACAUUGCCCUCAGAAUUGGCAUUGAGAUGAUGGAUGAACCACCUGCCAUAAAACAUCUAGGAUUAAUCUUUAAAAAGGAUCUAAACCUAUUCCAGCUGAUGGUAUCGCAAAUCCUUUGAUUACCUUGAAAGUGAGCAGAAAUGGGCCACAACUGAGAAUUUCCCUUUUAAUGUUAACCUGACUACAAAAUCUUCAGAGGACCCCGGAGGAUUUCACCAUAUGCACUUUGCUAAAUUGCACAGCAUCGGGCUUCAGUGUUCAUCUGGUCACUCUGUGUACUUGGGGCCCAAUGAGUCACUCCCGAAUAACAAAACAGAACAAGGCAAAACUGAAUUCCAG
This 376-nucleotide long non-coding RNA is filed under the name Zonotrichia albicollis (white-throated sparrow). RNAcentral's name for it is "lncRNA (ENSZALG00000002841.1)". Lineage: Eukaryota; Metazoa; Chordata; Aves; Passeriformes; Passerellidae. The record is from RNAcentral.